This 13211-nucleotide long non-coding RNA is filed under the name Volvox carteri. RNAcentral describes it as "long non-coding RNA (VCAR_LNC000412)". The record is from RNAcentral. Lineage: Eukaryota; Viridiplantae; Chlorophyta; Chlorophyceae; Chlamydomonadales; Volvocaceae.
UCACGCGCCUCGUUUGCUGCCUUCAAGAAAACUGUACGGCUUACAAUAUAUUGCCGGUGGCACCACCAUAAUUAUGGUUAUAACCGCACCGGCGGCCAGUGGCUGAAGCUCCAACUGCUGCUCUGAGGCCUACUUGGUUUGGCAGGGUUUGGCAGGGCAGGGAAAAAGGGGAAUUAACUCCUGAACCGCGUACAGCAGUAUGGAUCCGGAGACGCGCAGUAGCAAGCUACAUUUACCUUAGAAUAUCUUUAAGCUAUUAAAGCUUAAUCACAGUAACAGUACAGUCCCGUAGUUACGAACCAUACUCGUUAACUGUACGAACUCACUUUCUGUUGCGCUAUCACAACCUAGCGUACGACACCAAGACUCCAGGAAUGGAGAUGGCGGCAGGUGGGCCGCAUCUAAGCCACCCAGGUGAAGUGCUUCGGCCAGACACUUUCGUAUCACUAUACCAGUGUUCGGAGUUCAAGACUCUGCUGUCACCAUUCUCGACGUAUGUCUUCGAACUCCGACUUCUCGUGUCUUUUCUCGCGCCUAACGCUGGGCCGUCAAUCGUGGUCGAGACCCUCCUCAUCCACGGCCUUACAUCUAAAGUCUUCCGCUAAAACAGCUAAGGUAAGAGACGGCUGUUACACGCGCUUGCUGUCCACAUGUGGUGUGUCAUGCUUACGUACUCCAGCUUCUACAAGGUCAUGAAUAUCAAUCAGAUCAGCUAACGUCUCAAUGAAGAGUCCAAACAGCUCCGUAGAUAAAGGACACCCUUGCUUCAUUCCUUGCUUAGACUCAAACUCUAGAGGAGAUCUCCUCCCUCUUUCUCAUCCACCUCCUGUACCUUUUCUCAGAGCAUCUAGCAUGAUAUACGUGUAUCUAUAUGCACGUAUAUAUACAUAUACGCAUGCACAUCUUGACUAUUUGACUGUGUGCAUCCCUGCCUCCCCUUUAGCUGUUUCCUGUUUCCCGCCAGGCAGAUGAUGAACAAGCCAAGGCUGCCAAGCAGCUUGCAAACAGUUUCGCUCGCUUAAAUAAUUGCAGGUAUAUAGAGUUAGUGCAUGUUAUCACUCGGGGAAAGACUUGGUCAUGGAUGGGUUUUCCAGUCAUGGAUUUGGUCAUGGAUGCGGUCAUGGAUCCGGCCAUAAUUUGCCAUCAAGUCAUGGAUUUGGUCAUGUAUGUGGUCAUGGAUCCGGUCAUAAUUUGUCAUUAAGUCAUGGAUCCGGUCAUGGAUCAGUUCAUAGUUUGCAUAAGCAAGUGCAGGAUAUGACUGGUUGGGGUCAUGAAAUGCGUGGUCAUGAUGUCAUUUAUGAUGGGAUUUAUGACAGGUCAUGGGACCGCAAUAUGACCGUAUUCAGUCAUGGCUGCACUUUAUGACCCCAUGAGGUCAUAAAGGUGGUCAUGUACCUGCUCAUAAAUAUGCGGAACAUGACCAGGUCAUAUUGUGCAUGGUAUUCCAUGAUGCAACAAUGCAGGCCAUGACCACCCUGGCCCAUGUUUUGCACUCAUUCCAUGAGUCGUACACUGCAUUCCAUGACCACCCUGGCCCAUGUUUUGCUUGGUUUACAUGACGCGUACACUGCAUUCCAUGACCACAUUGGCACAUGUUUUACAUUGUUUACAUGAGUCAUACACUGCACUCCAUGACCACCCCUGGCCCAUGUUUUGCGCACAUCCCAGAAGUUGUUCACUGUGGGCUUAUAAGUCAUGACCAGCAACCCAUCAAUAUGUGGGCUCCAGACUCCAAGUCUGCUAUCGCAAAUAAAUGUAUGUACUCCAACACUCCACACCGUUAAGGUGACAAACCUCAAUGUUUCAGUGGAUCAAUCAGGUAAAUCACCCACCAGUAGCAUCCUAUAAAGUAAGCCAGAUUACCUGCAGCUCAACUACAUUCCUGAACCACAACUGCCUUCCAUUAUCAAUAUCAUAACUAUGAACUUCACUCCUUGCAGGUCUCAAUCCGUAAACCUUCAGGGACUUAAGUGUGUGCCCUGGCAGCUUGUUUCACUGCAGCAAGCUCAGCCCGCAUCUGGUGAGCAGUGAUGGCGGUGCACCACAUGGUUUCAUGGUCAGGCAUCCCAUAUGCACCACCACCAGUGCCACCCGUCGCCAUGGUGUCCCCAUACUCUGCAAUGACAUCGUCAAGUCUCUCGCCAAUCAGGUCCUCCAGGUAGUCACCCUCUGGCUCACAACCAGCUGGCCCCAUAAUUGUUUUGCCAGCAAUCACAGCCGCUUCCGGUGCAGCCAUGGCCAUCUGAGCUGAGACCUGCUAGCAGAACAUCAAGAUGUGAGCAUAUGUAAGACCCAAAAUGCAUGAUACUGGUGCCCUGCGAUGUUCAGGAACCUACAAGCAACUGCAUGACAUGUGCCAUGGAUACAUCCACAAUGACAUGUCAUAAUACAUCAUACCCAUAACCCAUACCCCGCGUACCUGCUGCUGCUUCGGUGGCACCACUGUUCAUCUCACCCAUCAUGACGGCUGGGGCCGUGGCAGGGGUCUGGCAGGAUCCCUGCAAAUGCAGCAUAUGGGCCGAAUUGAUAUAGUCUGUUGGAAUAAUAGUUUAGCAGCUGGAGGGAUGCUCGGGGGGCCCUUCCUCGUCCAUUCACCCGGACAUCCGAAGAGACGGAGGGUUCAGAAAUCACCACCUUUCCAGCGUGCAACCUGAUCAAUCAACUUUAAAAUCAACUCCACAUCUCAGCAGCUAGCUUACCCUCGUUCCCCCGAACUUGGGGAUCUCCCCGGGAAUCCAACCCUGGAUCUUAAACCGCUAAACACAGUAGAGUCAGCCCAGAACUAUUUAACAACAUGUACUUACAGCUGCCUUGGCAUUCACAUAUGCCACUCGGAUGAUCGAUGCCAUGAUUGCCCGCUUCUUCUUUUCAAGGCACGCCUGGCUGAUCCUCCAGUACUCCAAUGCAGACUUGGACAGCACAUCUGCGUGUUAUACAAGGAGUUGUGCAGUUAUGUGGGGUUUCCAAGCAUGCAACUGCAGCUGCAAUAAAUGCCACACUUACAGUUUGUGUGGCAGUACACAAACUCGAUGGCAUCCUUCCACUUANNNNNNNNNNNNNNNNNNNNNNNNNNNNNNNNNNNNNNNNNNNNNNNNNNUCACCCACCAGUAGCAUCCUAUAAAGUAAGCCAGAUUACCUGCAGCUCAACUACAUUCCUGAACCACAACUGCCUUCCAUUAUCAAUAUCAUAACUAUGAACUUCACUCCUUGCAGGUCUCAAUCCGUAAACCUUCAGGGACUUAAGUGUGUGCCCUGGCAGCUUGUUUCACUGCAGCAAGCUCAGCCCGCAUCUGGUGAGCAGUGAUGGCGGUGCACCACAUGGUUUCAUGGUCAGGCAUCCCAUAUGCACCACCACCAGUGCCACCCGUCGCCAUGGUGUCCCCAUACUCUGCAAUGACAUCGUCAAGUCUCUCGCCAAUCAGGUCCUCCAGGUAGUCACCCUCUGGCUCACAACCAGCUGGCCCCAUAAUUGUUUUGCCAGCAAUCACAGCCGCUUCCGGUGCAGCCAUGGCCAUCUGAGCUGAGACCUGCUAGCAGAACAUCAAGAUGUGAGCAUAUGUAAGACCCAAAAUGCAUGAUACUGGUGCCCUGCGAUGUUCAGGAACCUACAAGCAACUGCAUGACAUGUGCCAUGGAUACAUCCACAAUGACAUGUCAUAAUACAUCAUACCCAUAACCCAUACCCCGCGUACCUGCUGCUGCUUCGGUGGCACCACUGUUCAUCUCACCCAUCAUGACGGCUGGGGCCGUGGCAGGGGUCUGGCAGGAUCCCUGCAAAUGCAGCAUAUGGGCCGAAUUGAUAUAGUCUGUUGGAAUAAUAGUUUAGCAGCUGGAGGGAUGCUCGGGGGGCCCUUCCUCGUCCAUUCACCCGGACAUCCGAAGAGACGGAGGGUUCAGAAAUCACCACCUUACCAGCGUGCAACCUGAUCAAUCAACUUUAAAAUCAACUCCACAUCUCAGCAGCUAGCUUACCCUCGUUCCCCCGAACUUGGGGAUCUCCCCGGGAAUCCAACCCAGGAUCUUAAACCGCUAAACACAGUAGAGUCAGCCCAGAACUAUUUAACAACAUGUACUUACAGCUGCCUUGGCAUUCACAUAUGCCACUCGGAUGAUCGAUGCCAUGAUUGCCCGCUUCUUCUUUUCAAGGCACGCCUGGCUGAUCCUCCAGUACUCCAAUGCAGACUUGGACAGCACAUCUGCGUGUUAUACAAGGAGUUGUGCAGUUAUGUGGGGUUUCCAAGCAUGCAACUGCAGCUGCAAUAAAUGCCACACUUACAGUUUGUGUGGCAGUACACAAACUCGAUGGCAUCCUUCCACUUACUCUGUGCAGAAGCCGAUGUACAGUGGUGCCUUGAUGGACAGAGGCAGGUUCGAUGCCUUGAUUGUGGCCUGCAAGCAAGUCAGUGCUUCAUGAGUGUGUAGUGACAAGUUGUGCUGCUGUUAGGGGCCUUACCCGGCAGAACCUCUCAUUGAAGUUGUGUUGGACAACUUCAUCCAUGACUUUAUUAACCUCUGCAACAAAAUCCCGGUCCCAGGCAUCCCGCUGCUUGCGUCCCUCGGCGAGUAUGUCAUCCUUGCUCUUCUUGCUUGAUUUUAAGUUUGCACUUCUCUCUCCUGGGAAGCUGUGGGGUUCCAAGGGAAGAAGGAACAAGGCAAUUCCCAGGUUGUCAUGCUUAUGCUUUUAAGGGCAACAACAGCAGCUUUAAACCAGCCAUCUUGGCAAAAAAGAAAAGAAAAUUCAGUGCAUUUCAGUUAGAAAGGGCUAAGCAGAUUGAAGUCGGCAGCUGGCUGGGAACCACAUUUAAAUGCCAUUGUUGACGGCAGGUCAACGAACACACCUGUUCCCGUGGGAAGCUCCUUCACACCGAAUGUGUCAUAGAAUAUGACAUGUUGCAGAAGACAAUCCUCUGUAAGGGCACCCGCAAGGGCUUUUGAUACUUCGUCGCCAUUGGAGGUGAGGACCGAGUUCAUUAUCAGGGUCCGCUGGGCUGCAAAGUGCUGGAGGUAACCGACAGGCUUCAACGUGACAUUGGCCCGUCUAAUAAGAAGUGCGGAAUGCUGCACCGCCGACAUUCUGCGCAAGCUCGCAGUCAAAGGAAAGUCGAUGACUUUGGCUGUCGUCUGUUUGGUCAAAGAGUAUGAGUAUAUUAAGUAAGAAUUACAUGUAUUUGGCACAGUUAAGUGCCAGACACUGUAAUGCCUUUCCGAUUUGCAGCUCCAUGACAGGUACAACUUGCACUGAUGGAUCCAGGAUUCACACAUGCAAGCGCAAGGGCAUCUUUUACUGUCAUUAUUCGAUCUCAAAAUCUAUGCAAUUCCAUGAGUAUAAUGGAUUUGUGUUCAUACGUGUGGUGUCCGUUGCCUCUCGGACAUCUGAUGUCGGGCUUUGCAGAACCAUUGAUCCCUCCCACAGGCGCCUGUUCCUUCACAUAUGGUACUGAGUAAUGGCUCAAUCUUAUAUCAGUCCGUAUUGGAGCUGCUUUCCGAUCGACACAGCAUUUCAGUGUCAAAACACUGAUUUCCGCCAUCACUCCACAUCAUGCCAUGGCAUGGAUGAUGGCGGAAGUGCUGUGGUGGUUUUGGUAGCGUUCAGUUUUGGUGACGGUGGCAUUGGUGAUGGCGGGGAUGGUGAUGGGAGCCUGGGAUGCUGUUUUGCCAUCCCCAGACUGCGGCCAUGGUGACAUUGAAGCGAAUGCGUCGCCUAGGUUGCGGGGGCCCCCCGUCAUACCCUUAAACACGCCCUCCUAACCAUUCCGCCCCGCCGUGUUUUCCCCCUUUCCCCCCUCGUUUUGCCAUCCCCGGACUGCGGCCAUGGUGACGUUCAAAUGAAUGCGUCGCCUAGNNNNNNNNNNNNNNNNNNNNNNNNNNNNNNNNNNNNNNNNNNNNNNNNNNNNNNNNNNNNNNNNNNNNNNNNNNNNNNNNNNNNNNNNNNNNNNNNNNNNNNNNNNNNNNNNNNNNNNNNNNNNNNNNNNNNNNNNNNNNGCGGCGGGAAAUAGCAACACAGCAGCAGCGGCAGCGACGUUGAAGGGGCUUGGAGGUGCAGUAGCCUAAAUGGCAGGCGUGGCAGCGGCAGGAAAUAGCAACAGCAGCAGGCGCAGCGGCGGCGGGAAUGAGCAACGGAGUAGCAGCAGCAGUGACGGCGGUGGGGUUGGGAGGUGCAGUAGCCUGAAUGGCAGGCACGGCGGCGGGGGGAAAUAGCAACACAGCAGCAGCGGCAGCGACAGUGAAGGGGCUGGGAGGUGCAGUAGCCUAAACGGCAGGCGCGGCAGCGGUGGGAAAUAGCAACAGCAGCAGCACGGCGGCCGCAGGAAUUAGCAACGGAGUAGCAGUGGCCGCGAUGAAGGUGGGGCUGGGAGGUGCAGUAGCCUAAACGGCAGGCAUGGCGGCGGGGGGAAAUAGCAACACAGCAGCAGCGGCAGCGACGGUGUUGGGGCUGGGAGGUGCAGUAGCCUAAACGGCAGGCGCGGCGGCGGCAGGAAUUAGCAACGCAGCAGCAGCAGCAGCGACGGCGGUGGGGUUGGGAGGUGCAGUAGCCUAAACUGCAGGCGUGGCGGCGGCGGGAAAUAGCAACGCAACAGCAGCAGCAGCGACGAAGGUGGGGCUGGGAGGGCCAUUACUCUCAACAGCAGGCGCGGCGGCGGGGGGAAUCAGCAACGCAGCAGCAGCGGCAGCGACGGCGGUGGGGUUGGGAGAUACAUUAGUCUGAACAACAGGNNNNNNNNNNNNNNNNNNNNNNNNNNNNNNNNNNNNNNNNNNNNNNNNNNCGGGGGCCCCCGUCAUGCCGUUAAACACGCCCUCCUAACCAAUCCACCCCGCCGCAUUUUCCCCCUUUCCCCCCUCGUUUUGCCAUCCCCCGACUGCGGCCAUGGUGACGUUCAAAUGAAUGCGUCGCCUAGGUUGCAGGGGGCCCCCGUCAUGCCGUUAAACACGCCCACCUAACCAAUCCACCCCGCCGCAUUUUCCCCCUUUCCCCCCUCGUUUUGCCAUCCCCCGACUGCGGCCAUGGUGACAUUCAAACGAAUGCGUCGCCUAGGUUGCAGGGGCCCCCCGUCAUGCCCUGAAACACACCCUCCUAACCAUUCCACCCCGCCGCGUUUUCCCCCUUUCCCCCUCGUUUUGACAUCCACGGACUGUGGCCAUGGUGACGUUCAAAUGAAUGCGUCGCCUAGGUUGCAGGGGGCCCCCGUCAUACCCUUAAAUCGCCCUCCUAACCAUUCAGCUCCGCCACGUUUUACCCCUUUCCCCCCUCGUUUUGCCAUCCCCCGACUAAGGCCAUGAUGACGUUCAAACGGUGUCAGAAGUAGGCUGGGCAGGGAGGGUGUGCACAUGGGAUGUGCCUGGCAUGCACCUUGAUGGGCCAGCAGCCUUGUACAGGCUGUGCACCCCAUCUGGUAGCGCUGGGUUGACCAGGUGUGCAUGGUGCAGGUGGCGAGCCAGCGCCUCCAUACAGGCGUAUGUUCCUCUGCCCCUGCAUUCUGGCAUCCUGUUGUUGUUGGAGGGGUUGCGCUGUGUGGCUGUAAUGUGUCAGAAGUACAGGCGCGGAGGCGGCGGGAAUAAGCAACGGAGUAGCAGCGGCAGCGACGGCGAAGGGGCUGGGAGGUGCAGUAGCCUAAACGGCAGGCGUGGCAGCGGCGGGAAAUAGCAACAGCAGCAGGCGCGGCGGCGGCGGGAAUUAGCAGCGGAGUAGCAGCGGCAGUGACGAAGGUGGGGCUGGGAGGUGCAGUAGCCUAAACGGCAGGCGCGGCGGCGGCGGGAAAUAGCAACACAGCAGCAGCGGCAGCGAUGGCGAAGGGGCUUGGAGGUGCAGUAGCCUAAAUGGCAGGCGCGGCGGCGGCGGGAAAUAGCAACACAGCAGCAGCGGCAGCGACGGCGAAGGGGCUUGGAGGUGCAGUAGCCUAAAUGGCAGGCGCGGCAGCGGCAGGAAAUAGCAACAGCAGCAGGCGCAGCGGCGGCGGGAAUGAGCAACGGAGUAGCAGCAGCAGUGACGGCGGUGGGGUUGGGAGGUGCAGUAGCCUGAACGGCAGGCACGGCGGCGGGGGGAAAUAGCAACACAGCAGCAGCGGCAGCGACAGUGAAGGGGCUGGGAGGUGCAGUAGCCUAAACGGCAGGCGCGGCAGCGGUGGGAAAUAGCAACAGCAGCAGCACGGCGGCCGCAGGAAUUAGCAACGGAGUAGCAGUGGCCGCGAUGAAGGUGGGGCUGGGAGGUGCAGUAGCCUAAACGGCAGGCGUGAUAGCGGCGGGAAUUAGCAACGGAGUAGCAACGGCAGCGACAGCGGUGGGGUUGGGAGGUGCAGUUGCCUAAACGGCAGGCGUGGCGGCGGCGGGAAUUAGCAACGGAGUAGCAGCGGCAGCGACGAAGGUGGGGCUGGGAGGUGCAAUUGUCUGAACAACAGGCGCGGCGGCGGCGGGAAAUAGCAACAGCAGCAGGCGCGGCGGCGGCGGGAUUAGCAACGGAGUAGCAGCGGCAGCGACGGUGAAGGGGCUGGGAGGUGCAUUAGUCUGAACAACAGGCGCGGCGGCGGCGGGAAAUAGCAACAGCAGCAGGCGCGGCGGCGGCGGGAAUAAGCAACGCAACAGCAGCAGCAGCGACGAAGGUGGGGCUUGGAGGGCCAUUACUCUCAACAGCAGGCGCGGCGGCGGGGGGAAUCAGCAACGCAGCAGCAGCGGCAGCGACGGCGGUGGGGUUGGGAGAUACAUUAGUCUGAACAACAGGCGCGGCGGCGGCGGGAAAUAGCAACAGCAGCAGGUGCGGCGGCGGCGGGAAUUAGCAACGGAGUAGCAGCGGCAGCGACGAAGGUGGGGCUGGGAGGUGCAUUAGUCUGCACAAUAGGCGCGGCGGCGGUGGGAAAUAGCAACAGCAGCAGGUGCGGCGGUGGCGGGAAAUAGCAACGCAGCAGCAGCAGGAUCGACGGCGUUGGGGCUGGGAGGUGCAUUAGCCUGAACAACAGGCGCGGCGGUGGCGGGAAAUAGCAACAGCAGCAGGCGCGGCGGCGGCGGGCAUUAGGAACGGAGUAGCAGCGGCAGCGACGAUGAAGGGGCUGGGAGGUGCAUUAGUCUCGACAGAAGGCGCGGCGGCGGCGGGAACUAGCAACGGAGUAGCAGCGGCGGCGAUGGCAGUGUGGCUGGGAGGUGCAGUAGCCUAAACGGCAGGCGCGGCGGCGGCGGGAAUUAGCAACGCAGCAGCAGCGGCAGUGACGGCGGUGGGGCUGGGAGGUACCAGAUGGUGCCAUUUGCACAGCAAUCACAUAGUGCUAAACGCAGUGACGUUUCUUAUUGGUGCUGCAAAUUGUCCACGUUCACAUAACUUCUGGGCAGCAAGAGGGGAAAAGCCGUACAAUUCCGGACCCUGGUCCGGAAGUGUACAGCAUGGUAUGAAGUUCACAUGGCUGCAAAUUCAAAUCUGGGAAGUUGUUUCGUGGCUACCGAACUUUGUUGAUUGCAUCAUUUAAAUCCUGGCCAGAACCUGCCAUAGAAUAGGAUGCUCUUUUGUCAUGGCGGGACCAAAUGCUUGCUUGCGUAGAAGCAUUAGAAGCUCGACGAUUGAUGCAAACGUGAAUGUUCUGGUACUCCUACACAUUGUGAUCAUUCUUACUGGUCACAUUAGCCAGUUUGCCAUGUCAUUGAAUGCGCUGGAGGUGGCAUCCAAACCACGAAAGAUCAUUUACAGACCGGAUGUUGCUCCGGACUCCUCCCAGCCUUUUAACUGCACCAACUGUGCCAACUGGUUUGGUAGUCGGUCACAUGCAUAUCGGCACCAGUGCAAAGACAGGGGGUGGAGUAUGGCCGCCGCCGCGCCUGCGGUUAAGACUAAUGCACCUCCCACAUGUUUUAGCUAGUUACAUCAACAAUGCUGUGCUGUNNNNNNNNNNNNNNNNNNNNNNNNNNNNNNNNNNNNNNNNNNNNNNNNNNCGGAGUAGCAGCGGCAGCGACGAAGGUGGGGCUGGGAGGUGCAUUAGUCUGCACAAUAGGCGCGGCGGCGGUGGGAAAUAGCAACAGCAGCAGGUGCGGCGGUGGCGGGAAAUAGCAACGCAGCAGCAGCAGGAUCGACGGCGUUGGGGCUGGGAGGUGCAUUAGCCUGAACAACAGGCGCGGCGGUGGCGGGAAAUAGCAACAGCAGCAGGCGCGGCGGCGGCGGGCAUUAGGAACGGAGUAGCAGCGGCAGCGACGAUGAAGGGGCUGGGAGGUGCAUUAGUCUCGACAGAAGGCGCGGCGGCGGCGGGAACUAGCAACGGAGUAGCAGCGGCGGCGAUGGCAGUGUGGCUGGGAGGUGCAGUAGCCUAAACGGCAGGCGCGGCGGCGGCGGGAAUUAGCAACGCAGCAGCAGCGGCAGUGACGGCGGUGGGGCUGGGAGGUACCAGAUGGUGCCAUUUGCACAGCAAUCACAUAGUGCUAAACGCAGUGACGUUUCUUAUUGGUGCUGCAAAUUGUCCACGUUCACAUAACUUCUGGGCAGCAAGAGGGGAAAAGCCGUACAAUUCCGGACCCUGGUCCGGAAGUGUACAGCAUGGUAUGAAGUUCACAUGGCUGCAAAUUCAAAUCUGGGAAGUUGUUUCGUGGCUACCGAACUUUGUUGAUUGCAUCAUUUAAAUCCUGGCCAGAACCUGCCAUAGAAUAGGAUGCUCUUUUGUCAUGGCGGGACCAAAUGCUUGCUUGCGUAGAAGCAUUAGAAGCUCGACGAUUGAUGCAAACGUGAAUGUUCUGGUACUCCUACACAUUGUGAUCAUUCUUACUGGUCACAUUAGCCAGUUUGCCAUGUCAUUGAAUGCGCUGGAGGUGGCAUCCAAACCACGAAAGAUCAUUUACAGACCGGAUGUUGCUCCGGACUCCUCCCAGCCUUUUAACUGCACCAACUGUGCCAACUGGUUUGGUAGUCGGUCACAUGCAUAUCGGCACCAGUGCAAAGACAGGGGGUGGAGUAUGGCCGCCGCCGCGCCUGCGGUUAAGACUAAUGCACCUCCCACAUGUUUUAGCUAGUUACAUCAACAAUGCUGUGCCUGUGGGACGGUGCGAGCUGGUGACUUAACUUGUCAUGCUUGAACACAGCAGGAGAGAAUCUUUGCUAAUUAAACCUUAAAUACAUGCCUUAAGUAUGUAACAUAUGGCUUCAAAUUAACAACAGGGUGUAAGGGAGCUGACCGAGUAAGGCUUGGCAACAGGCCAAAAGGAAGUUGCCCUGCUAGCUGGCAUAUACUGAUCUUUUGCGUUGGAUAAGUGCAGCUAAGCCUAAGGGCUUUGUUUACGGCCGCGCCUGAAUGCAUAUCAAGUCACUGCAAGUGGCUGAAACGAAGGUAAUUCAAGUGCACUCCAGAAUCCCGGCAGGGAUGCUGUAUAGUACAUUAGCAACGGAGUAGCAGCGGUAAUAUACUAUGCAGCAUUUCGGAAGGGAUUCCGGAGUCCAUAUGGCAUAUAAUUGUCAUUUUUUAGAAAGGAACAAAACAUGAACACAUAGCCAGCAUAUGACCAUUGGGAACAUGACUGAAUUUCAACAUAUGAGUGGCGAUUCAUGAUCAGUCAUGCUGCACAAGGAGCAUGACAACUGUCAUGACCAUGACUCUGCCUCAUGACCGGUAACAUGACCGGUCAUGAGGCCUCAUGAGUGGUCAUGAGGCAACAUGACCAGAUCUAUGACAGGAAACCCCCCGCAUGACCACAUCCAUGACCAAGUCGUUCCCCGAGCAUAUAUGCUAUGCUAUGCUAUGCUAUGCUAUGCUAUGCUAUGCUAUGCUAUGCUAUGCUAUGCUAUGCUAUGCUAUGCUAUGCUAUGCUAUGCUAUGCUAUGCUAUGCUAUGCUAUGCUAUGCUAUGCUAUGCUAUGCUAUGCUAUGCUAUGCUAUGCUAUGCUAUGCUAUGCUAUGCUAUGCUAUGCUAUGCUAUGCUAUGUUAUGUAUGCUUUGCUGCGCUAUGCUAUGCUAUGCUAUGCUAUGCUAUGCAAUCUGUAAGCAUAUGCCGUCCGCAAGCAUAUGUGGUCUGCAAGCAUAUGCAGUCUGCAAGCAUAUGCAGUCUGCAAGCAUAUGCAAUCUGCAAGCAUAUGCCGUCUGCAGGCAUAUGCAGUCUGCAAGCAUAUGCAAUCUGUAUGCUUUGCUGCGCUGCACUAUGCUAUGCUAUGCUAUGCUAUGCAAUCUGCAAGCAUAUGCCGUCUGCAAGCAUAUGCAGUCUGCAAGCAUAUGCAAUCUGCAAGCAUAUGCAGUCUGCAGGCAUAUGCAGUCUGCAAGCAUAUGCANNNNNNNNNNNNNNNNNNNNNNNNNNNNNNNNNNNNNNNNNNNNNNNNNNAGGCCAAAAGGAAGUUGCCCUGCUAGCUGGCAUAUACUGAUCUUUUGCGUUGGAUAAGUGCAGCUAAGCCUAAGGGCUUUGUUUACGGCCGCGCCUGAAUGCAUAUCAAGUCACUGCAAGUGGCUGAAACGAAGGUAAUUCAAGUGCACUCCAGAAUCCCGGCAGGGAUGCUGUAUAGUACAUUGUGCACAUUGUUAUAGAGGUAAUAUACUAUGCAGCAUUUCGGAAGGGAUUCCGGAGUCCAUAUGGCAUAUAAUUGUCAUUUUUUAGAAAGGAACAAAACAUGAACACAUAGCCAGCAUAUGACCAUUGGGAACAUGACUGAAUUUCAACAUAUGAGUGGCGAUUCAUGAUCAGUCAUGCUGCACAAGGAGCAUGACAACUGUCAUGACCAUGACUCUGCCUCAUGACCGGUAACAUGACCGGUCAUGAGGCCUCAUGAGUGGUCAUGAGGCAACAUGACCAGAUCUAUGACAGGAAACCCCCCGCAUGACCACAUCCAUGACCAAGUCGUUCCCCGAGUGUAUUAGUUGCCAACAAUGGUGGCUAAUCCGACUGCGGCCACAAAGGGCAGGUCUGUCACCACCAAUGCUGCUUCACUGUUGAACUCCAGCCAGACCCCCAGCACUGAUCGGCUGAGGAAGUCCGGGGAGCUCAGCCCCGCACGUGAGGCUGCUACCGAGGAGCUGACUGUGAAGUUAGUCAUGCCGGGGCAGGUGUACGUUGGAGAGGUGUCCUUGGAGGCCUCAAAGAUAGGCACGACUACUGUAGCCUGGGGCAUGCAAGGAGUGAUAAAUCAUAUACAUAUAUAUGUCAAUAGACUUGUUGCAUUCAGGGAAGGAAGUUGGUAUUCGAACAAUAUACAGAGGCAGGUGGUUGGCAAAGAUUAAGCCCUGACUUCUGCUACCGGCUGACCUGGGUUCAAAUCCGCCUGCUGGCUCC